GAUGAACGCUGGCGGCGUGCCUAAUACAUGCAAGUCGAGCGAGCAGACGAGGAGCUUGCUCCUCUGACGUUAGCGGCGGACGGGUGAGUAACACGUGGAUAACCUACCUAUAAGACUGGGAUAACUUCGGGAAACCGGAGCUAAUACCGGAUAAUAUAUUGAACCGCAUGGUUCAAUAGUGAAAGACGGUUUUGCUGUCACUUACAGAUGGAUCCGCGCCGCAUUAGCUAGUUGGUAAGGUAACGGCUUACCAAGGCAACGAUGCGUAGCCGACCUGAGAGGGUGAUCGGCCACACUGGAACUGAGACACGGUCCAGACUCCUACGGGAGGCAGCAGUAGGGAAUCUUCCGCAAUGGGCGAAAGCUUGACGGAGCAACGCCGCGUGAGUGAUGAAGGUCUUCGGAUCGUAAAACUCUGUUAUUAGGGAAGAACAAAUGUGUAAGUAACUAUGCACGUCUUGACGGUACCUAAUCAGAAAGCCACGGCUAACUACGUG
This 497-nucleotide ribosomal RNA is filed under the name uncultured bacterium. RNAcentral describes it as "partial 16S ribosomal RNA". It matches the Rfam family "Bacterial small subunit ribosomal RNA", at positions 28 to 507 of the family's 1533-position model. The record is from RNAcentral.